This 155-nucleotide ribosomal RNA is filed under the name Tremella brasiliensis. RNAcentral describes it as "5.8S ribosomal RNA". It matches the Rfam family "5.8S ribosomal RNA". Rfam says of the family: 5.8S ribosomal RNA (5.8S rRNA) is a component of the large subunit of the eukaryotic ribosome. It is transcribed by RNA polymerase I as part of the 45S precursor that also contains 18S and 28S rRNA. Functionally, it is thought that 5.8S rRNA may be involved in ribosome translocation. The record is from RNAcentral. Lineage: Eukaryota; Fungi; Basidiomycota; Tremellomycetes; Tremellales; Tremellaceae.
AACUUUCAACAACGGAUCUCUUGGCUCUCGCAUCGAUGAAGAACGCAGCGAAACGCGAUAUGUAAUGUGAAUUGCAGAAUUCAGUGAAUCAUCGAAUCUUUGAACGCACCUUGCGCCUUCUGGUAUUCCGGAAGGCAUGCCUGUUUGAGUGUCAU